Molecule: ribosomal RNA, 465 nt
Filed under: uncultured bacterium
Lineage: Bacteria
Description: partial 16S ribosomal RNA
Rfam family: Bacterial small subunit ribosomal RNA
Source: RNAcentral
GACGAACGCUGGCGGCGUGCUUAACACAUGCAAGUCGAACGGAAAGGCCCCUUUGGGGGUACUCGAGUGGCGAACGGGUGAGUAACACGUGAGUAACCUGCCCUUGACUUCGGGAUAACUUCAGGAAACUGGGGCUAAUACCGGAUAGGAAUCCUUGCUGCAUGGUGGGGGUUGGAAAGCUUCGGCGGUUUUGGAUGGACUCGCGGCUUAUCAGCUUGUUGGUGGGGUAGUGGCUUACCAAGGCUUUGACGGGUAGCCGGCCUGAGAGGGCGACCGGCCACAUUGGGACUGAGAUACGGCCCAGACUCCUACGGGAGGCAGCAGGGGGGAAGAUUGCACAAUGGGCGGAAGCCGGAUGCAGCAACGCCGCGUGCGGGAUGACGGCCUUCGGGUUGUAAACCGCUUUCAGCAGGGGCGAAGCUUGUGGUGACGGUACCUGCAGAAGAAGCACCGGCUAACUACGUG